UACGUAGGUGGCGAGCGUUGUCCGGAUUUACUGGGCGUAAAGAGCGCGCAGGCGGUCGUACAAGUCGCGUGUGAAAGCCCCCGGCUCAACUGGGGAGGGUCACGCGAUACUGUUCGACUCGAAGGCAGGAGAGGGAAGUGGAAUUCCCGGUGUAGUGGUGAAAUGCGUAGAUAUCAAGUGGAACACCAGUGGCGAAGGCGAGUCCCUGGACGACUCCUGACACUGAGGCACGAAAGCUAGGGGAGCAAACAGG
Molecule: ribosomal RNA, 253 nt
Filed under: uncultured bacterium
Lineage: Bacteria
Description: partial 16S ribosomal RNA
Rfam family: Bacterial small subunit ribosomal RNA
Source: RNAcentral